CCAAGAGUCCAUAUCGACGGGAUGGUUUGGCACCUCGAUGUCGGCUCGUCGCAUCCUGGGGCUGGAGUCGGUCCCAAGGGUUGGGCUGUUCGCCCAUUAAAGCGGUACGCGAGCUGGGUUUAGAACGUCGUGAGACAGUUCGGUCCCUAUCCGCUGUGCGCGUAGGAGUCUUGAGAAGGGCUGUCCCUAGUACGAGAGGACCGGGACGGACGAACCUCUGGUGUGCCAGUUGUUCUGCCAAGGGCAUGGCUGGUUGGCUACGUUCGGGAGGGAUAACCGCUGAAAGCAUCUAAGCGGGAAGCCUGCUUCGAGAUGAGGACUCCCACCCACUUGAUGGGGUAAGGCUCCCAGUAGACGACUGGGUUGAUAGGCCGGAUCUGGAAGCACCGUGAGGUGUGGAGGUGACCGGUACUAAUAGGCCGAGGGCUUGUCCUCAGUUG
This 440-nucleotide ribosomal RNA is filed under the name Streptomyces diastaticus. RNAcentral describes it as "partial 23S ribosomal RNA". It matches the Rfam family "Bacterial large subunit ribosomal RNA", at positions 2492 to 2925 of the family's 2925-position model. The record is from RNAcentral. Lineage: Bacteria; Bacillati; Actinomycetota; Actinomycetes; Kitasatosporales; Streptomycetaceae.